CAAUAGCGUAUAUUUAAGUUGUUGCAGUUAAAAAGCUCGUAGUUGGAUUUCGGUUAAGAGCGACCGGUCCGCCGUUUGGUGUGCACUGGUUGGUUUUAACUUCCUGUAGAGGACGUGCUCUGGGUUUAACGACCUGGACUCGGAGUCUACGUGGUUACUUUGAAAAAAUUAGAGUGUUCAAAGCGGGCUUGCGCUUGAAUAUUUCAGCAUGGAAUAACACUAUAGGACUCCUGUCCUAUUUCGUUGGUCUCGGGACGGGAGUAAUGAUUAAGAGGAACAGUUGGGGGCAUUCGUAUUUCAUUGUCAGAGGUGAAAUUCUUGGAUUUAUGAAAGACGAACUUCUGCGAAAGCAUUUGCCAAGGAUGUUUUCAUUA
Molecule: ribosomal RNA, 374 nt
Filed under: uncultured eukaryote
Lineage: Eukaryota
Description: partial 18S ribosomal RNA
Rfam family: Eukaryotic small subunit ribosomal RNA
Source: RNAcentral